AAACCACACACUUUCUGCCAAAUUCCUUGGAAAAAAAGACUGUCCUAACCUAACAAAAAGGGCGUCUGGACUUCUCCAACGCGCCCAUAAAAAGGUCAGAUAAUCUACUCGACAUGUCACUAAAAACAGAGAUAAAAUAGCUCCUACAACUAGUAUUCAACAUUAUUAGUAAUAAAAGUUAAUUUCUGA
Long non-coding RNA from Xiphophorus couchianus (Monterrey platyfish), 189 nucleotides. RefSeq lists it as uncharacterized. Lineage: Eukaryota; Metazoa; Chordata; Actinopteri; Cyprinodontiformes; Poeciliidae. The record is from RefSeq and is a predicted model, not a curated record. The transcript is spliced from 3 exons.